RNAcentral lists this ribosomal RNA (468 nucleotides) under uncultured bacterium. RNAcentral's name for it is "partial 16S ribosomal RNA". It matches the Rfam family "Bacterial small subunit ribosomal RNA", at positions 28 to 507 of the family's 1533-position model. The record is from RNAcentral.
GACGAACGCUGGCGGCGUGCUUAACACAUGCAAGUCGAACGGAAAGGCCCUGCUUUUGUGGGGUGCUCGAUUGGCGAACGGGUGAGUAACACGUGAGUAACCUGCCCUUGACUUUGGGAUAACUUCAGGAAACUGGGGCUAAUACCGGAUAGGAUCUCCUGCUGCAUGGUGGGGGUUGGAAAGUUUCGGCGGUUGGGGAUGGACUCGCGGCUUAUCAGCUUGUUGGUGGGGUAGUGGCUUACCAAGGCUUUGACGGGUAGCCGGCCUGAGAGGGUGACCGGCCACCUUGGGACUGCGAUACGGCCCAGACUCCUACGGGAGGCAGCAGUGGGGAAUAUUGCACAAUGGGCGGAAGCCUGAUGCAGCAACGCCGCGUGCGGGAUGACGGCCUUCGGGUUGUAAACCGCUUUCGCCUGUGACGAAGCGUGAGUGACGGUAAUGGGUAAAGAAGCACCGGCUAACUACGUG